Molecule: ribosomal RNA, 547 nt
Filed under: Penicillium simplicissimum
Lineage: Eukaryota; Fungi; Ascomycota; Eurotiomycetes; Eurotiales; Aspergillaceae
Description: eukaryotic LSU rRNA
Rfam family: 5.8S ribosomal RNA (bases 158-311)
Source: RNAcentral
UCUGGGUCACCUCCCACCCGUGUUUAUUUACCUUGUUGCUUCGGCGGGCCCGCCUCACGGCCGCCGGGGGGCACCCGCCCCCGGGCCCGCGCCCGCCGAAGACACCAUUGAACUCUGUCUGAAGAUUGCAGUCUGAGCGAUUAGCUAAAUCAGUUAAAACUUUCAACAACGGAUCUCUUGGUUCCGGCAUCGAUGAAGAACGCAGCGAAAUGCGAUACGUAAUGUGAAUUGCAGAAUUCAGUGAAUCAUCGAGUCUUUGAACGCACAUUGCGCCCCCUGGUAUUCCGGGGGGCAUGCCUGUCCGAGCGUCAUUGCUGCCCUCAAGCACGGCUUGUGUGUUGGGCCCCGCCCCCCGGUCCCGGGGGGCGGGCCCGAAAGGCAGCGGCGGCACCGCGUCCGGUCCUCGAGCGUAUGGGGCUUCGUCACCCGCUCUGUAGGCCCGGCCGGCGCCCGCCGGCGACCCCCAAUCAAUCUAUCCAGGUUGACCUCGGAUCAGGUAGGGAUACCCGCUGAACUUAAGCAUAUCAAUAAGCGGAGGGAAAAGAAA